Molecule: ribosomal RNA, 480 nt
Filed under: Metschnikowia lunata
Lineage: Eukaryota; Fungi; Ascomycota; Pichiomycetes; Serinales; Metschnikowiaceae
Description: eukaryotic LSU rRNA
Rfam family: Eukaryotic large subunit ribosomal RNA
Source: RNAcentral
AAACCAACAGGGAUUGCCUCAGUAACGGCGAGUGAAGCGGCAAAAGCUCAAAUUUGAAAGCUUCGGCAUUGUAAUUUGAAGAAAUAAAACCCACGGCGAGGCGAAACAAGUCCAUUGGAAAAUGGCGCCACAGAGGGUGACAGCCCCGUAGUUUCUCCCCUCACCCAACCGUUUUAUUUCCAAGAGUCGAGUUGUUUGGGAUUGCAGCUCUAACGGUGGUAAAUUCCAUCUAAAGCUAAAUACUGGCGAGAGACCGAUAGCGAACAAGUACAGUGAUGGAAAGAUGAAAAGCACUUUGAAAAGAGAGUGAAAAAGUACGUGAAAUUGUUGAAAGGGAAGGGCUUGACCGGCUGGGGAGGUCGGGGAAAAAGAGGCCAAAACAAGCAAGGAAUGUAACUCUCGAGUAUUAUAUCCUCGCCCACACCCUCACUUUUCCCCGUGGACCGCUAACAGGAUCUCCCCCCAAUCCGGCCAAGUCGC